RNAcentral lists this ribosomal RNA (203 nucleotides) under uncultured bacterium. RNAcentral describes it as "partial 16S ribosomal RNA". It matches the Rfam family "Bacterial small subunit ribosomal RNA", at positions 60 to 247 of the family's 1533-position model. The record is from RNAcentral.
UGCAGUCGACGCGACUGAGGGCUUCGGCUCUCAGUUGAGUGGCAAACGGGUGAGUAACACGUGGGUGACCUACCUUCGAAUGGGGGAUAACGUCCCGAAAGGGACGCUAAUACCGCAUAACAUCCUGCCUUUGAACAGGUGGAGAUCAAAGCCGGGGAUCGUAAGACCUGGCGUUUGGAGAGGGGCCCGCGUCCGAUUAGCUA